RNAcentral lists this ribosomal RNA (482 nucleotides) under Polyerata decora. RNAcentral's name for it is "partial 12S ribosomal RNA". It matches the Rfam family "Bacterial small subunit ribosomal RNA", at positions 801 to 1506 of the family's 1533-position model. Lineage: Eukaryota; Metazoa; Chordata; Aves; Apodiformes; Trochilidae. The record is from RNAcentral.
AAAUCUCGACACUUCCUAGACUAAGUGUCCGCCUGAGAACUACGAGCACAAACGCUUAAAACUCUAAGGACUUGGCGGUGCCUCAAACCCACCUAGAGGAGCCUGUUCUAUAAUCGAUAACCCACGCUACACCCAACCGCCCCUUGCUUGCUCAGCCUACAUACCGCCGUCGCCAGUCCACCUAUCUUGAGAGGAUAAUAGUGAACACAAUAGCCCCAACCGCGCUAAAAAGACAGGUCAAGGUAUAGCCCAUGGAGCGGGAGAAAUGGGCUACAUUUUCUACUAUAGAAAAUUACGAAAGGGGACAUGAAACUCUCCCCAGAAGGCGGAUUUAGCAGUAAAGUUGAACCACAAUGCCACCUUAAAACCGGCCCCGGGGCACGUACAUACCGCCCGUCACCCUCCUCGUAAGCUACCAGCGUAAGUAAUUAACACCAACUUCUAGCCAAAGACGAGGCAAGUCGUAACAGGGUAAGUGUACA